This 460-nucleotide ribosomal RNA is filed under the name uncultured bacterium. Its description in RNAcentral is "partial 16S ribosomal RNA". It matches the Rfam family "Bacterial small subunit ribosomal RNA", at positions 338 to 795 of the family's 1533-position model. The record is from RNAcentral.
CCUACGGGAGGCAGCAGUGAGGAAUAUUGGUCAAUGGACGAGAGUCUGAACCAGCCAAGUAGCGUGAAGGAUGACUGCCCUAUGGGUUGUAAACUUCUUUUAUAUGGGAAUAAAACGUUCCACGUGUGGGCUUUUGUAUGUACCAUAUGAAUAAGGAUCGGCUAACUCCGUGUCAGCAGCCGCGGUAAUACGGAGGAUCCGAGCGUUAUCCGGAUUUUUUGGGUUUAAAAGGAGCGUAGGUGGAUUGUUAAGUCAGUCGUGAAAGUUUGCGGUUCAACCGUAAAAUUGCAGUUGAAACUGGCGGUCUUGAGUACAGUAGAGGUGGGCGGAAUGCGUGGUGUAGCGGUGAAAUGCUUAGAUAUCACGAAGAACUCCGAUUGCGAAGGCAGCAUACCGGCGCCCUACUGACGCUGAGGCACGAAAGCGUGGGUAUCGAACAGGAUUAGAUACCCUGGUAGUC